ACGUACACUCCUACGGGAGGCAGCAGUGGGGAAUAUUGCACAAUGGGCGCAAGCCUGAUGCAGCCAUGCCGCGUGUAUGAAGAAGGCCUUCGGGUUGUAAAGUACUUUCAGCGGGGAGGAAGGCAAUACGGUUAAUAACCGUGUUGAUUGACGUUACCCGCAGAAGAAGCACCGGCUAACUCCGUGCCAGCAGCCGCGGUAAUACGGAGGGUGCAAGCGUUAAUCGGAAUUACUGGGCGUAAAGCGCACGCAGGCGGUCUGUCAAGUCGGAUGUGAAAUCCCCGGGCUCAACCUGGGAACUGCAUUCGAAACUGGCAGGCUUGAGUCUUGUAGAGGGGGGUAGAAUUCCAGGUGUAGCGGUGAAAUGCGUAGAGAUCUGGAGGAAUACCGGUGGCAAAGGCGGCCCCCUGGACAAAGACUGACGCUCAGGUGCGAAAGCGUGGGGAGCAAACAGGAUUAGAUACCCCAGUAGUCCCAUGA
RNAcentral lists this ribosomal RNA (480 nucleotides) under uncultured organism. RNAcentral describes it as "partial 16S ribosomal RNA". It matches the Rfam family "Bacterial small subunit ribosomal RNA", at positions 329 to 800 of the family's 1533-position model. The record is from RNAcentral.